Molecule: ribosomal RNA, 42 nt
Filed under: Pristimantis croceoinguinis (Santa Cecilia robber frog)
Lineage: Eukaryota; Metazoa; Chordata; Amphibia; Anura; Strabomantidae
Description: partial 16S ribosomal RNA
Source: RNAcentral
CUAAAACUUAGCCCUUCCCCCCCCCCCUUUUUAUUAACCCCC